RNAcentral lists this transfer RNA (86 nucleotides) under Deltaproteobacteria bacterium. Its description in RNAcentral is "tRNA-Tyr". It matches the Rfam family "tRNA". Rfam says of the family: Transfer RNA (tRNA) molecules are approximately 80 nucleotides in length. Their secondary structure includes four short double-helical elements and three loops (D, anti-codon, and T loops). Further hydrogen bonds mediate the characteristic L-shaped molecular structure. tRNAs have two regions of fundamental functional importance: the anti-codon, which is responsible for specific mRNA codon recognition, and the 3' end, to which the tRNAs corresponding amino acid is attached (by aminoacyl-tRNA synthetases). tRNAs cope with the degeneracy of the genetic code in two manners: having more than one tRNA (with a specific anti-codon) for a particular amino acid; and 'wobble' base-pairing, i.e. permitting non-standard base-pairing at the 3rd anti-codon position. The record is from RNAcentral. Lineage: Bacteria; Pseudomonadati; Myxococcota; Myxococcia.
GGAGAGGUACCGAAGCGGUCAAACGGGGCAGGCUGUAAACCUGUUGCCUUCGGGCUACGGAGGUUCGAAUCCUCCCCUCUCCACCG